GAUGAACGCUGGCGGCGUGCCUAAUACAUGCAAGUCGAGCGAACAGACGAGGAGCUUGCUCCUCUGACGUUAGCGGCGGACGGGUGAGUAACACGUGGAUAACCUACCUAUAAGACUGGGAUAACUUCGGGAAACCGGAGCUAAUACCGGAUAAUAUAUUGAACCGCAUGGUUCAAUAGUGAAAGACGGUUUUGCUGUCACUUAUAGAUGGAUCCGCGCCGCAUUAGCGAGUUGGUAAGGUAACGGCUUACCAAGGCAACGAUGCGUAGCCGACCUGAGAGGGUGAUCGGCCACACUGGAACUGAGACACGGUCCAGACUCCUACGGGAGGCAGCAGUAGGGAAUCUUCCGCAAUGGGCGAAAGCCUGACGGAGCAACGCCGCGUGAGUGAUGAAGGUCUUCGGAUCGUAAAACUCUGUUAUUAGGGAAGAACAAAUGUGUAAGUAACUAUGCACGUCUUGACGGUACCUAAUCAGAAAGCCACGGCUAACUACGAG
Molecule: ribosomal RNA, 497 nt
Filed under: uncultured bacterium
Lineage: Bacteria
Description: partial 16S ribosomal RNA
Rfam family: Bacterial small subunit ribosomal RNA
Source: RNAcentral